RNAcentral lists this unclassified non-coding RNA (789 nucleotides) under Melitaea cinxia (Glanville fritillary). RNAcentral describes it as "misc RNA ENSMCXG00005012532.1". The record is from RNAcentral. Lineage: Eukaryota; Metazoa; Arthropoda; Insecta; Lepidoptera; Nymphalidae.
CGUUCAGUAUUGGCCGCGCCACCGAGGCGUGUAUUCGAUGUGGACUCGCUUCUAAACAGCGAUAAAACAGCAAAAUACGCUACAAAUACACAAUAAUACGAAAUAAUCCCGUGUUCUACAUAGCAAAAAACGCUUAAAGUCGACUCUACACAUCCGCUCAAAGCUCUAUACCUCACCGUUUAAUUUUUUCUCCUUAGUUUCCUUUUUUUUAUAUAUUUUGUUUUGAUUUUUUUUUCGCCGGGAAAACGCCGGUACAGAAAAUUCUGUGAAUAGAGAAUAACAGUGAAACCUUUUGUUCGAAAACGUUUAAGAGACCUCGGAGAGGACAGAAUUUGUGUUAUUAUUGUUGUUUUCCUCUUCUUGAUUUUUCUGUGGUGUCAACACGUGUAUUAUUGAUCGUGUCGGCGUGAUUGUAAAAAAGGUAAGUGUACAUUUCAACAACAUUUCAAGUUAAAGAACGUUGGUAAGGAGAUCCAUUCCUUAAUUUCUUCGUAUGUAACAAAAUAAAUAGAUUGAUUACUUAAAUUACCAAAUUAAGCCUAGUUAAAAAAGUCUAAGUAGUAGUACAUUAGGAGCAGAGAAAGUUGGUUUUUUGUGCCUACCCUAUUAUUUGUUAGACUUUUUCUAUUCAGGCCGAACCUCCCCUAACUUCUAUUUGUUCUUUCCCCACCCUGUCUCCUCUUUUCAUUUCAAUUCCCUCAUUUCCCGCCACUAAUUGUAUUUUUCGCAAUUUACUGUUCAGGCUUCGAUUGUUUUUUUUUUUUAUUUUAUUAAUGUGACAUUUGAAAC